Long non-coding RNA from Malus domestica (apple), 343 nucleotides. RefSeq lists it as uncharacterized. Lineage: Eukaryota; Viridiplantae; Streptophyta; Magnoliopsida; Rosales; Rosaceae. The record is from RefSeq and is a predicted model, not a curated record.
UUUCAUUCCCUUCUUCUCUCUCUCGUCCCUGCGCCUCCAAACUCCCUCCUUGUCCAUGCCUCCAAUUUCUCCAUUCUUCUCCAUUCUUCUCUCUCCGUUUCUCGAUCUUCUCACUCCAGGUGGGCACUGAAGUUGGGUGGAUGAAAUCCUUUUCCUCCUCAGAUCACAGGAACAAGAAACAGUUGUUGCAUGCCUCAAAUUGUUACUGUUUCGACGAGGGUUAAUGGAGAGAAAGGGUAAAUUUGCAGCCGAAUGCCGAAAAUAAAUGUGCUUCAAGCUCCAGAUAUUAAAAAAAAAAAUCAUGAAAAAACCGAAAAAAAACCGAAACCGAACCGAAAAAAAA